Molecule: long non-coding RNA, 956 nt
Organism: Hypanus sabinus (Atlantic stingray)
Lineage: Eukaryota; Metazoa; Chordata; Chondrichthyes; Myliobatiformes; Dasyatidae
Exons: 4
Source: RefSeq, a predicted model, not a curated record
CAGAUGUGCAUUGGGCGGAUCGGUAAUUUUAAUUGCGAUAAUAGUUUUGCUGAAACUCAAGUUAAAGAGAUCGCACGGGGGUAACACAAAUUCUUUCGAUGGAUAUCAGAAAGAAGAUCCGCAGGUUAACCAAGUAGCUGUUGAGCACGCCACUGCCUAUGAAUCACUAAAUAUGAGGGACAGCAAAGGAUUUCGCAAAGAUUGACGGCUAGAAAUGCGUAUUAUCUAAUCUCAGAUGAAAGGAAAUGGCGCUGACAAAACUGACUUACGCUGCCGUGCAGCUCCCCGAUUCCGAGAAUAUCUCAGCAUCUAAAUAUCAAAACCAACAUACAUUGUACGCAUAUCUAAAUAUAUCAAAGGAACUGUGAAGCUGAGAACCAACGGACAGUUUGGAGCUGUAGACUAUCAAUGAGUGCAGACCUAGGCAUUCCUUCGUUUUAUUUCUUGCAUCCAGCCAAAGAAUGUCAAUCAAUAUCAUUUGUACAAGUUGACAAGAUAAGCGUUCAUCUUCGUCUUCGAUGUUCUUAUGAUUUAUUUGAGGGGGUUAUCAGCUGAAAAAAAUAUUACUAAGAAAUUUAAGAAUAAGAUUGGGAACAAGACAUUCCGCCUCCCUCUUCUGUCCGGUAAUUCAAGGUGAUAAUGACUGACCUGUUCAACCAUAUUUUCGUCUGCUAUAUCAUUGACAAGUCCUCAGCCAUUUCAUGAAAUAAACCUAUUUUGCCAUAGUAUGCCCCCCCCCCGCAAGCUAUUCCUUCCACAGUACUCAGAAGAUGUAAAAAAAUCAGAGAUUCGUCACCACCAGAGAGAGAAACUUUGUUUACAGAGUAAAAGCCGCUAACUGAACAGCUAUUCUUGUUCACUUCAACCGAAGGAAAUAUAGAUUUGAAGAUUUGAAGAAAUGGAAAAAUCUCGACUAUUUUUCCAACUUUAGAUUUUGUUUAGAUAUUUACUUUUAA